Molecule: ribosomal RNA, 466 nt
Filed under: uncultured bacterium
Lineage: Bacteria
Description: partial 16S ribosomal RNA
Rfam family: Bacterial small subunit ribosomal RNA
Source: RNAcentral
GACGAACGCUGGCGGCGUGCUUAACACAUGCAAGUCGAACGGAAAGGCCUCUUUCGGGGGGUACUCGAGUGGCGAACGGGUGAGUAACACGUGAGUAACCUGCCCUUGACUUUGGGAUAACUUCAGGAAACUGGGGCUAAUACCGGAUAGGAGCUCCUGCUGCAUGGUGGGGGUUGGAAAGUUUCGGCGGUUGGGGAUGGACUCGCGGCUUAUCAGCUUGUUGGUGGGGUAGUGGCUUACCAAGGCUUUGACGGGUAGCCGGCCUGAGAGGGUGACCGGCCACAUUGGGACUGAGAUACGGCCCAGACUCCUACGGGAGGCAGCAGUGGGGAAUAUUGCACAUGGGUGGAAGCCUGAUGCAGCAACGCCGUGUGCGGGAUGACGGCCUUCGGGUUGUAAACCGCUUUCGCUCAUGACGAAGCUUUGUGUGACGGUAGUGGGUAAAGAAGCACCGGCUAACUACGUG